RNAcentral lists this long non-coding RNA (440 nucleotides) under Amborella trichopoda. RNAcentral's name for it is "long non-coding RNA (ATRI_LNC002440)". Lineage: Eukaryota; Viridiplantae; Streptophyta; Magnoliopsida; Amborellales; Amborellaceae. The record is from RNAcentral.
UUUGCUCUUGCCACCUCCACUAAAAGACGUGGGCUUUAGGCGUUUAAAGCGUAAGCUAACGCUUACACCUGUAACGUAAUAAAAGAAUAAAAUAAUAUGUUAGUAGAACUUAAAUUCAGAGAGGUGAGGAGUCCUACCUUAGAAAACUUAUGAGAUUUUUCUUUCUUUGGUCGAAAUACAGUGAACUCCUCUCUCUAGCCGAAUUUUAUCGGAAGCUCCCUCUCAAAUAUUUUAUGUGUAAGUGACAUCAUCUUCUUAAAAUAUAGUUUGUUUUUAAUAAAAAGUGAUAUUUUCAUCCAGGAUUUUUAUUUUAUAAGUUUUGUGUGUAAGUGAUUUCAUUUUCUUGAAAAAUAAUCAGUUCUUUUUAAAAAUGAAAUGAAAUAAUUACUUCUGCUUAUUAUUAUGAAUUUUAGGCGCGAUAAAUUUUAUGCGCAAGCGAC